AACCAACAGGGAUUGCCUUAGUAACGGCGAGUGAAGCGGCAACAGCUCAAAUUUGAAAGCUGGCCCUUUCAGGGUCCGCGUUGUAAUUUGUAGAGGAUGAUUCGGCGAGGGCUCCCGCCUAAGUCCCCUGGAACGGGGCGUCAUAGAGGGUGAGAAUCCCGUAUGCGGUGGGCUGCCUUAGCCGUGUGAAUCUCCUUCGACGAGUCGAGUUGUUUGGGAAUGCAGCUCUAAAUGGGAGGUAAAUUUCUUCUAAAGCUAAAUACCGGCCAGAGACCGAUAGCGCACAAGUAGAGUGAUCGAAAGAUGAAAAGCACUUUGGAAAGAGAGUUAAAAAGUACGUGAAAUUGUUGAAAGGGAAGCGCUUGCAACCAGACUUGUCCGCAGUUGCUCAGCCGGUCUCCUGACCGGCGUACUCUUCUGCGGCCAGGCCAGCAUCAGUUCGGGCGGUCGGAUAAAGACCUCGGGAAUGUAGCUCCUCUCGGGGAGUGUUAUAGCCCGGGGUGGAAUGCGGCCAGCCUGGACUGAGGAUCUCGCUUCGGCAAGGAUGCUGGCGUAAUGGUUGUAAGCGGCCCGUCUUGAAACACGGACCAAGGAGUCUAACAUCUAUGCGAGUGUUUGGGUGUCAAACCCAUACGCGUAAUGAAAGUGAACGGAGGUGGGAACCCGCAAGGGCGCACCAUCGGCCGAUCCUGAUGUCUUCGGAUGGAUUUGAGCAAGAGCAUAGCUGUUGGGACCCGAAAGAUGGUGAACUAUGCCUGAAUAGGGUGAAGCCAGAGGAAACUCUGGUGGAGGCUCGCAGCGGUUCUGACGUGCAAAUCGAUCGUCAAAUUUGGGUAUAGGGGCGAAAGACUAAUCGAACCAUCUAGUAGCUGGUUCCUGCCGAAGUUU
RNAcentral lists this ribosomal RNA (888 nucleotides) under Sphaeropsis visci. RNAcentral's name for it is "eukaryotic LSU rRNA". It matches the Rfam family "Eukaryotic large subunit ribosomal RNA", at positions 63 to 969 of the family's 3401-position model. Lineage: Eukaryota; Fungi; Ascomycota; Dothideomycetes; Botryosphaeriales; Botryosphaeriaceae. The record is from RNAcentral.